The sequence is a regulatory RNA element, 252 nucleotides long. It matches the Rfam family "T-box leader". Rfam says of the family: Uncharged tRNA acts as the effector for transcription antitermination of genes in the T-box leader family. T-boxes are found upstream of many aminoacyl-tRNA synthetase genes and some amino acid biosynthetic genes usually in Gram-positive bacteria. The record is from Rfam.
UGAAAAACCAUGAGAAAGACGAGUAGCUGUUUUCAUUCGUAAAGUGAGCCGAGGAUAAUGGGAACUUGGCCGACCCUGAUACAGCGAAAAACACUUCCCCGCGUUGCUGACCCAAAUGGAUUCAUCCAAAGUAGGCUCAGACGUUUUCGACACGUUACAGUCGAUGGAGCAUGUUUGUGCUCUGAUCAAAGCGGUCUGGAUAUCUCUGGACAACUUGGGUGGCACCGCGGAAUAAAGCCUUUCGUCCCAUGA